RNAcentral lists this ribosomal RNA (501 nucleotides) under uncultured bacterium. RNAcentral describes it as "bacterial SSU rRNA". It matches the Rfam family "Bacterial small subunit ribosomal RNA", at positions 31 to 524 of the family's 1533-position model. The record is from RNAcentral.
AAGAACACUACGGGAGGCUACACAUGCAACCGAGCGGGAUUUAUGGGUUAGCUUGCUAACCGAUAAUGAGAGCGGCGUACGGGUGCGGAACACGUGUGUAACCUGCCCUUAUCAAGGGGAUAGCCCGGAGAAAUUCGGAUUAACACCAUAUAACAUACGACGAGGCAUCUUGUUGUAUUAAAAACUGAGGUGGAUAAGGAUGGGCACGCGCAAGAUUAGUUAGUUGGUGAGGUAACGGCUCACCAAGGCUACGAUCUUUAGGGGGCCUGAGAGGGUGAUCCCCCACACUGGGACUGAGACACGGCCCAGACUCCUACGGGAGGCAGCAGUGAGGAAUAUUGGACAAUGGGUGGAAGCCUGAUCCAGCCAUCCCGCGUGAAGGACGACUGCCCUAUGGGUUGUAAACUUCUUUUGUAUAGGGAUAAACCUACUCUCGUGAGGGUAGCUGAAAGUACUAUACGAAUAAGCACCGGCUAACUCCGUGCCAGCAGCCGCGGUAAU